UGGGGAAUAUUGGACAAUGGGCGAAAGCCUGAUCCAGCCAUGCCGCGUGUGUGAAGAAGGUCUUCGGAUUGUAAAGCACUUUAAGUUGGGAGGAAGGGCAGUAAGCGAAUACCUUGCUGUUUUGACGUUACCGACAGAAUAAGCACCGGCUAACUCUGUGCCAGCAGCCGCGGUAAUACAGAGGGUGCGAGCGUUAAUCGGAUUUACUGGGCGUAAAGCGUGCGUAGGCGGCUAAUUGAGUCGGAUGUGAAAUCCCAGAGCUUAACUUGGGAAUUGCAUUCGAUACUGGUUAGCUAGAGUGUGGGAGAGGAUGGUAGAAUUCUAGGUGUAGCGGUGAAAUGCGUAGAGAUCUGGAGGAAUACCGAUGGCGAAGGCAGCCAUCUGGCCUAACACUGACGCUGAGGUACGAAAGCAUGGGGAGCAAACAGG
This 429-nucleotide ribosomal RNA is filed under the name Pseudomonadota bacterium. Its description in RNAcentral is "Proteobacteria bacterium partial 16S ribosomal RNA". It matches the Rfam family "Bacterial small subunit ribosomal RNA", at positions 355 to 776 of the family's 1533-position model. Lineage: Bacteria; Pseudomonadati; Pseudomonadota. The record is from RNAcentral.